UUCCAAUUGUUUGUUGGUGUUGGAAUUUGGACGGCACUCUGUCGGCCUUGGAAUUAGAAGAGGUUGCCGUUUAACAGUAAACCAAUAGCACCCCACCAAGUUCGCCAAUGGCUUGAUGGAAAAAGUCCGUUUCAGUUCCAGGCAUGUUGUGGAAAUUUAUACUGAAGAUCAUUCAAACUUUGAAGUUGGGCACUAAGUACUACUCCUAUUCCUUGGACUUUAAUCUCUUCUGAUUCAUGUAUUCUUAAUGAUUCAGUAGACCAGUGGUUAGAAACAAACUUAAGUAUCCACACCACAAGUAACAUGCUCACUGUUAACUGACUGUCUAAAUGCAAUACGGGGUCCUUCCAAGUUCGAUCUAGCCUCUAAUGAAGCAGGUACUAUUUUUGAGUGCAGAUAUUCAAAUGCAAAUUGAUGGUUGUUGUUGUCUGUGUCACACUGAAUUUGAAACUAGAAAUCAUCUACUUUUAGAGUGUAGAUAUUGGAAGACAGUCUGGAAUGAAGUGCUUAAAUUUGUUCAUUGCAAAAAUCCACUGGACAGUGGAAUUUUGAGCUACAAUAGGUGAUAAGGAAGCUAAAGGGAAAAGCCUG
Molecule: long non-coding RNA, 591 nt
Filed under: Gossypium raimondii (Peruvian cotton)
Lineage: Eukaryota; Viridiplantae; Streptophyta; Magnoliopsida; Malvales; Malvaceae
Description: long non-coding RNA (GRAI_LNC003268)
Source: RNAcentral